Molecule: long non-coding RNA, 382 nt
Filed under: Homo sapiens (human)
Lineage: Eukaryota; Metazoa; Chordata; Mammalia; Primates; Hominidae
Description: HSALNT0408131
Source: RNAcentral
GGCAAGCCUCCACAGCCAUUUACACAUUUCCCUCCUCAGCAAUGGGUACACAGACAGCCAAGCUCCUGGACUAAGUCUCUGAAUGGUCUUGUCAUCUCCUAAUCAGCAGAAGGAAAAGAAAGUCAGGGAUGCACAGCAUCUCUCAGUUUGGCCUGUUACAGAAGACUACAGAUAUGAUCAUGGAUAAACCCAACGAAAAUCAGUAUCUGACAAUAUGUAAAAUGACAUGGUAGUGUCAUUAAAUUGAGACCUGAAAUUGUGGAUCAGUUUAACCCAGAGUCACAGUUAGGCAAACCACAAAGCAAUCUAAGAGGAGAUCACAGCAUAACAGCAUUGCACCACUUAUGUGGCUAUUAAGGACCCUGCAUCAAACAACAAAAAG